GCACCACAGCGACCAGCCGUUUCUAGGAGACAGGAGCACCUAGAACUGGAACAGGAAUGUGCACAACUGAAGUACCCUGGUUGAACUUGAAUCAGAGUCCAAGGAAGGAGGCCCUGGCAUUGUGAGAUGAUGGGCAGUAUUCUCACAGAGAGCAGCUCCAGCAGUUUGGGCAAGAUAUGAUAAAACUUGUGAAGCUCUGGGCAUUUAAAUAAAGAUAUUCUCAAAAAAAGAAGAAAAAUAAAGAUAUUCUCAUUGCAAGACCUCAGAUGACUGUUCAUACACAUGAUCAUGCUGCUAAAUCCAUGGGCCAUGUGCAAGUAAGAGAUAUUUAAGAAGACAUCAGCAAAAAGUUUGAACUUCCAGCCACCUGCUGGCCACCUGGGCUUUAGCUACCUCUGCAUCAUCUUAAUUGAAAGGAAAGAACCUUGAAACAUUCAUUGUUACUGGUAUGGGGUUUCCCCAAAUUGUUACCAUUAUAUUUUAUGGUAAGAGUACUGAUUCUGAGUCACAUUGGGUGGAAGCCACAACCCAUGGAUGAGUUAGGCAUGUCCUGGGACCACCUUGAGACUAGGUGGUGCUUACAGGACCUACUUGUGUGUCUGACUUACUGCCAGUGAGGACCUGAGAGACAGGGGUGAUGGGAAACCUUGUGUUCCAAGUUUCUAACUCCUGCCUCAGAAUUCUAAUAAAAACAAGAGUCUGAGUCU
Long non-coding RNA from Chinchilla lanigera (long-tailed chinchilla), 707 nucleotides. RefSeq lists it as uncharacterized. NCBI's taxonomy places the organism in Eukaryota, Metazoa, Chordata, Mammalia, Rodentia, Chinchillidae. The record is from RefSeq and is a predicted model, not a curated record. The transcript has 4 exons.